Molecule: ribosomal RNA, 590 nt
Filed under: Staphylococcus aureus
Lineage: Bacteria; Bacillati; Bacillota; Bacilli; Caryophanales; Staphylococcaceae
Description: bacterial SSU rRNA
Rfam family: Bacterial small subunit ribosomal RNA
Source: RNAcentral
AGACUGGGAUAACUUCGGGAAACCGGAGCUAAUACCGGAUAAUAUUUUGAACCGCAUGGUUCAAAAGUGAAAGACGGUCUUGCUGUCACUUAUAGAUGGAUCCGCGCUGCAUUAGCUAGUUGGUAAGGUAACGGCUUACCAAGGCAACGAUGCAUAGCCGACCUGAGAGGGUGAUCGGCCACACUGGAACUGAGACACGGUCCAGACUCCUACGGGAGGCAGCAGUAGGGAAUCUUCCGCAAUGGGCGAAAGCCUGACGGAGCAACGCCGCGUGAGUGAUGAAGGUCUUCGGAUCGUAAAACUCUGUUAUUAGGGAAGAACAUAUGUGUAAGUAACUGUGCACAUCUUGACGGUACCUAAUCAGAAAGCCACGGCUAACUACGUGCCAGCAGCCGCGGUAAUACGUAGGUGGCAAGCGUUAUCCGGAAUUAUUGGGCGUAAAGCGCGCGUAGGCGGUUUUUUAAGUCUGAUGUGAAAGCCCACGGCUCAACCGUGGAGGGUCAUUGGAAACUGGAAAACUUGAGUGCAGAAGAGGAAAGUGGAAUUCCAUGUGUAGCGGUGAAAUGCGCAGAGAUAUGGAGGAACACCAG